GACGAACGCUGGCGGCGCGCCUAAUACAUGCAAGUUGAGCGCUGAAGGUUGGUACUUGUACCGACUGGAUGAGCAGCGAACGGGUGAGUAACGCGUGGGGAAUCUGCCUUUGAGCGGGGGACAACAUUUGGAAACGAAUGCUAAUACCGCAUAAAAACUUUAAACACAAGUUUUAAGUUUGAAAGAUGCAAUUGCAUCACUCAAAGAUGAUCCCGCGUUGUAUUAGCUAGUUGGUGAGGUAAAGGCUCACCAAGGCGAUGAUACAUAGCCGACCUGAGAGGGUGAUCGGCCACAUUGAGACUGAGACACGGCCCAAACUCCUACGGGAGGCAGCAGUAGGGAAUCUUCGGCAAUGGACGAAAGUCUGACCGAGCAACGCCGCGGGAGUGAAGAAGGUUGUCGGAUCGUAAAACUCUGUUGGUAGAGAAGAACGUUGGUGAGAGUGGAAAGCUCAUCAAGUGACGGUAACUACCCAGAAAGGGACGGCUAACUACGUG
RNAcentral lists this ribosomal RNA (497 nucleotides) under uncultured bacterium. Its description in RNAcentral is "partial 16S ribosomal RNA". It matches the Rfam family "Bacterial small subunit ribosomal RNA", at positions 28 to 507 of the family's 1533-position model. The record is from RNAcentral.